GAUGAAGAACGUAGCGAAAUGCGAUACUUGGUGUGAAUUGCAGAAUCCCGUGAACCAUCGAGUCUUUGAACGCAAGUUGCGCCCGAGGCCAUUAGGCCGAGGGCACGCCUGCCUGGGCGUCACACGUCGUUGCCCCCCCAUCUACUCCUUCGGGAUUGCGGGGGGCGGAUGAUGGCCUCUCGUGCGCCUCGUCGCGCGGUUGGCCUAAAUGCCAAGUCCUCGGCGACGCACGCCACGACAAUCGGUGGUUGCGAAACCUCGGUUGCCUGUCGUGUGCGGUCGUCGCGCAUCGAGGGCUCGAAAAAAUUGCCGGGCUUCGGCUCGACUUUCAACGCGACCCCAGGUCAGGCGGGGUUACCCGCUGAAUUUAAGCAUAUCAAUAAGCGGAGGA
This 391-nucleotide unclassified non-coding RNA is filed under the name soil metagenome. Its description in RNAcentral is "partial contains 5.8S ribosomal RNA, internal transcribed spacer 2, and large subunit ribosomal RNA". The stretch from base 1 to 122 matches the Rfam family "5.8S ribosomal RNA", at positions 35 to 154 of the family's 154-position model. The record is from RNAcentral.